GAAGCGGCAGAAAAGGCCGGCGUGUGGGGCGGGCCUGGGGAAGGGACUCCCGCGGCCCUAAGGUGCUGGCGGGCGUUUGGCGUUGCAGCUGUGUGGGCGCUGGUGCGUGCGAGUAGCGCUCGAAGAAACCCAAAGGCGUCGUGGGGCUGCCGUGUGCCCCAGAGAGCACUGCAGGCCGGGUAGGGGCUAAGGCUCCCCGCAGUCUUCUGUGUGUCGUCCAGUACGCAGUUGAAAUCGUUCUCCAACCUGGCCAGUCCUCCGAGGCCCUUCUCAGGCGACCAGACUCUGUUAACAGAGUCCAUUGCUAAAACUCCUCGUUAGUAUUUACCACUCCUCCAGUCUGUGUUUUGAAGCAGUGGUUUUCAACCACUGCCCGUUUUCAGAAGAAAUCAUCUCAAGCGUCCGUGUGCUGCUAGAAGCCGGGCCGGGAGGUCUUGGUGCCGGACUCCACCCUGCAGCCCUUCCCUUUCGCCACCGCCCUGUGCUUAGAGAAACCUUAGAGUGGAGCAAUGAGUCGCCCUUGACUGAGUAACUCUUCGGGGUCAACUUCUCCUUCCACGCCAAGGAAAGGAUUCCAGGGCGAUGUUUCUGGAAAUAGAGAUCUGACCAAGCCACUGCUCUGGUGAAAAUUCAGUGGGUCCCUAGCACCUAGUGCAGCGGCUCCUAGCCUGAGUAUUGCCGUCUUUCGGUGGGGAGGGGUUGGGUUUUUUUGUAGCAUCUGUUGAUCUGAUCUCCAACAUCCUCCACGUCAAUUCCCACUCCACCCACAUCCCUUAUCCUAUACGUAAGCUUUCCAGCCACGGUGCUGGCUUGGGUGGGGGUGCGUGCGGUGCUGACACCAAAAUGGAGGUCCCGUGUUUCUGAGAGUCUCUUUCAGAGCAAUGCAAACCUGAAACUACUCCUGCCAAGAAACGAUUGCAGCUCUUCCCGGAAAAGUUAAAGCCUUUGAGAAACAAAGCUGAGGUUGAAAGUAUUAGUCCAUUUUAUAGAUGAAGAAAUGGAGGCCCAGAGAGAUCACGUGACUUAGCCAAGUCCACCAACUAAUAUUGGGAAGCUCAGCAGGGUCCUGGGGGCCCACAGGAAUGUGAAUAAACACGCUUGGAAAGUCUGCAGAAUUUCCAGUCCUAGCCUCCUGCUGGUGUGAACCUGGGCUCCUGUGCCUGGGACCCUGGGAGGGCCUAGGGGAUGCCAAAUUCCAGGGUCCAGAAAGAGCUUGGGAUAAAAUGAACAUCCAAGGGGAGGGCUUUGACCUGGGCUGAGUCUGCCUGUGCCGAGUCUGCCUGUGCCAUCCAACUGGAGUCUCAAGUCCUGAGGCAGGACGUCCAGAUGCCCCAGUGCAGGGUCCUCCUGAUCAACACCUGCUCCCCUGUACUCAUUAGCAACCUCACCCACCCUACUCUCAAAGCACACUUGGCUCUCAUAUCCAGGAGCUCUGCAUCUGUAGAUUCAGCAACAGCAGAUGGAAAAUAUUCAGAAAAUAAAUUGGACAGUUAUAUUUCUAUUGAACAUGUGCAGACUUUGUUCUUGUCAUUAUUCCCUAAAGAAUACAGUAUCACGACCAUU
RNAcentral lists this long non-coding RNA (1563 nucleotides) under Homo sapiens (human). RNAcentral describes it as "novel transcript". Lineage: Eukaryota; Metazoa; Chordata; Mammalia; Primates; Hominidae. The record is from RNAcentral.